Molecule: long non-coding RNA, 590 nt
Filed under: Citrus x clementina
Lineage: Eukaryota; Viridiplantae; Streptophyta; Magnoliopsida; Sapindales; Rutaceae
Description: Citrus clementina (C. clementina) long non-coding RNA (CCLE_LNC000044)
Source: RNAcentral
UGUGCCAAAAAUAGGCCGUGGGCACAGCCACGCCUAAAAAUAACCACCCGAACGCCGGGGCGCCAAGUUCGUCAAGCGGAAAAAGGCCACAAAAACGGUUGGGCUAUAGCCUUGGGGGGUGGGGCUGGCCCACUUUGUCCGCCGGACUCGGAAUGGCGCGAGACUUUGCUAGGCGCCUCCGUGUGCCAAAAAGAGGCCGCGGGUACAGUCACGCCCAAAAAUAAACUCCCGAAGGCCGGGGCGCCAAGUUCGUCCAGCGGAAAAAGGCCACAAAAACGGGUGGGCUAUAGCCUUGGGGGGUGGGGCUGGCCAACUUCGUCCGCCGGACUCGGAAUGCCGCGAGACUUUGCGAGGGGCCACCAUAUGCCAAAAAUACACCGUGGGUAAAGCCGUGCCCAAAAAAUAACCGCCCGAAGGCUGGGGGGCCAAGUUCGUCCAGAGGAAAAAGGCCACAAAAACGGGUGGGCUAUAGCCUUGGGGGGUGGGGCUGGCCAACUUCGUCAGCCGGACUCGGAAUGCCGCGAGACUUUGCGAGGGGCCUCCGUGUGCCAAAAAUAGGCCGCGGGCAAAGCCGUGCCCAAAAAAUAACA